Molecule: ribosomal RNA, 549 nt
Filed under: uncultured bacterium
Lineage: Bacteria
Description: bacterial SSU rRNA
Rfam family: Bacterial small subunit ribosomal RNA
Source: RNAcentral
UGGGGAAUUUUCCGCAAUGGGCGCAAGCCUGACGGAGCAACGCCGCGUGAGGGAUGAAGGCCUUCGGGUCGUAAACCUUUGUCGUGCAAGAAGAAUGUCUUUUGGGUAAAUAAUCCAGGAGAAUGACUGUAUUGCAGGAGGAAGCUCCGGCUAACUACGUGCCAGCAGCCGCGGUAAUACGUAGGGAGCGAGCGUUGUCCGGAUUGAUUGGGCGUAAAGGGCGCGCAGGUGGUUGAGUAAGUCACAUGUCUAAUCCGCAAGCUUAACUUGCGAUCGGCAGGUGAAACUACUUAACUAGAGUAUAGGAGAGGAAAGUGGAAUUCCCAGUGUAGCGGUGAAAUGCGUAGAUAUUGGGAAGAACACCGGUGGCGAAGGCGACUUUCUGGACUAUUACUGACACUGAGGCGCGAAAGCUAGGGGAGCAAACGGGAUUAGAUACCCCGGUAGUCCUAGCCGUAAACGGUGAACACUAGGUGUAUCCUGAGUUAUCGGGAUGUGCCGAAGCAAACGCAUUAAGUGUUCCGCCUGGGGAGUACGGUCGCAAGGUUG